RNAcentral lists this ribosomal RNA (488 nucleotides) under uncultured bacterium. RNAcentral describes it as "bacterial SSU rRNA". It matches the Rfam family "Bacterial small subunit ribosomal RNA", at positions 28 to 506 of the family's 1533-position model. The record is from RNAcentral.
GAUGAACGCUAGCUACAGGCUUAACACAUGCAAGUCGAGGGGCAGCAUGAACUUAGCUUGCUAAGUUUGAUGGCGACCGGCGCACGGGUGAGUAACACGUAUGCAACCUACCUUUAACAGGGGGAUAACACUGAGAAAUUGGUACUAAUACCCCAUAAUAUCAUAGAAGGCAUCUUUUAUGGUUGAAAAUUCCGAUGGUUAGAGAUGGGCAUGCGUUGUAUUAGCUAGUUGGUGAGGUAACGGCUCACCAAGGCGACGAUACAUAGGGGGACUGAGAGGUUAACCCCCCACACUGGUACUGAGACACGGACCAGACUCCUACGGGAGGCAGCAGUGAGGCAUAUUGGUCAAUGGACGCAAGUCUGAACCAGCCAUGCCGCGUGCAGGAUGACGGCUCUAUGAGUUGUAAACUGCUUUUGUACUAGGGUAAACUCACCUACGUGUAGGUGACUGAAAGUAUAGUACGAAUAAGGAUCGGCUAACUCCGU